GAUGGGGGUCACUAGCAGGAACCAGUGGCGUAACUAGAGUGCGCCAGCCCCCCUUGCAAAAAAAUCUCCAGAGGUGCCCUGUCGCAUUCCGAUCCCCAUCUUCCUGCCUACGUCACAUCUCGCUUCUGCUCGGCCCACGCCCGGUCCACUUCGCGGCCAGACUUUACUCACUCCUGUGCGACUUGCGUCCCCCUUCCUCGCCACAGAGAAACAAUCAUCUCCAUCCACUCCAGAUGUGGCAGGCCCUGAAGUAGGGGUUACAUGGAUCGCCCAUGGUGAAACCUGGCACCACAGCUCCAUCCCACAAACUCUUCUGGAAGAACAAGUUCGCUGCCAGCAACUCUUUCCAUGGUGGAGCUCAGGAUGACUUUUCAGACAGAUGACUCAAGAGCGGAAUGGCUUUGAGAUGAACUAUUUGUGUUUUCUGAUUCUGCACAUUAUCUCAAUGGCUUCCUGUUGUUCAGUCCCUCGGGACGAAUGUGUGCGCAAGGUCACAGAUGACACGGUCAAGUUUUUCAUGAGCUUGGGAGAACAACCUCCGGAUAUGAAUGUUCUUUAGGGAUACAGAUGGGCCAAUCAUAUUAAAACUAAGGCUAACUGAGGAUAAGCUGCUUAAAAUAUGCUGCAAUCUCUGGUGCUUCAGCAAAAGAAGAGUGGCCAGAUUGUUCCUCUCAAUCAAAGUCUUGGAAUAUUGGGAUACAAAUUGGAAGCUCCAUGGUAACUAAUCAUUGAAGAACCUAUUGUGGCAUCUCAGUUUGAGUAUCUGAUCACUGAUAGACUGCUAUAUAGACUUGGCCAAGUCAGCUCUGACCCUUGUGUGGCUUAUUCGAAAUCCCACCGGCACCGAUCAUUGACUGCUUCCUCACUUUCUUGUGCCUGCAAACAGGGUUCAGGAAAUGGGGUUAUCAGCAGCCUCGUCAGUGAAGCAUUUCCAGGAUAAUUGGGGGGGGGAGGUCUUGAGUGAUGGACAUUAGUUAGCAGGAUGUAUCUGUCAGAUAGCUCUCACAUGGCUGACAGGCACUGCUACCGGUAAUCAGUGAGGGCCACUCAGAUAGGGGUCUGUCAGUGCUUCUAUGGAUGCUAGUCUUUUCUGCUCUAACUGGCCCAUCAAACAGCUCUCUACACACACAAUCAUUAGUCCCUAUUCUACACCUGUACCUGUAUCAAUGAAUAUGCAAUGACACAAGAUGCAAGUAGGAGAGGUGAGGACUAAUGCUGGGAGCUGUGAAUAAAGGGUUUCUAAACCCUGGGAUUAACAAUUGCAGUGAGGAGGUGUUACUUUAGUAGGUUGCACCAAAACACACAAUUGACUAGUGUCCACAGAAUCAUACCGCUGCCAUUAUCUAUGCCAGGGAUCCCCCACCUUUUGAACCCGUGAGCAACAUUCAGAACUAAAACAAGUUGGCUAGCAUGAAAAAUGCUCUUGGAGGUGCCAAAUAAGGGCUGUGAUUGGCCAUUUAGU
Molecule: long non-coding RNA, 1462 nt
Organism: Xenopus laevis (African clawed frog)
Lineage: Eukaryota; Metazoa; Chordata; Amphibia; Anura; Pipidae
Exons: 4
Source: RefSeq, a predicted model, not a curated record